CCUACGGGGGGCAGCAGUGGGGAAUAUUGCACAAUGGGCGCAAGCCUGAUGCAGCCAUGCCGCGUGUGUGAAGAAGGCCUUCGGGUUGUAAAGCACUUUCAGCGGGGAGGAAGGCGUUAAGGUUAAUAACCUUGGCGAUUGACGUUACCCGCAGAAGAAGCACCGGCUAACUCCGUGCCAGCAGCCGCGGUAAUACGGAGGGUGCAAGCGUUAAUCGGAAUUACUGGGCGUAAAGCGCACGCAGGCGGUCUGUCAAGUCGGAUGUGAAAUCCCCGGGCUCAACCUGGGAACUGCAUUCGAAACUGGCAGGCUAGAGCCUUGUAGAGGGGGGUAGAAUUCCAGGUGUAGCGGUGAAGUGCGUAGAGAUCUGGAGGAAUACCGGUGGCGAAGGCGGCCCCCUGGACAAAGACUGACGCUCAGGUGCGAAAGCGUGGGGAGCAAACAGGAUUAGAUACCCUAGUAGUC
This 465-nucleotide ribosomal RNA is filed under the name uncultured Klebsiella sp. RNAcentral's name for it is "bacterial SSU rRNA". It matches the Rfam family "Bacterial small subunit ribosomal RNA", at positions 338 to 795 of the family's 1533-position model. Lineage: Bacteria; Pseudomonadati; Pseudomonadota; Gammaproteobacteria; Enterobacterales; Enterobacteriaceae. The record is from RNAcentral.